This 301-nucleotide ribosomal RNA is filed under the name uncultured bacterium. RNAcentral describes it as "partial 16S ribosomal RNA". It matches the Rfam family "Bacterial small subunit ribosomal RNA", at positions 509 to 809 of the family's 1533-position model. The record is from RNAcentral.
CGGUAGCCACGGGAAUACGUAGGGUGCAAGCGUUAAUCGGAAUUACUGGGCGUAAAGCGUGCGCAGGCGGUUGUGUAAGACAGGUGUGAAAUCCCCGGGCUUAACCUGGGAAUUGCAUUUGUGACUGCACGACUAGAGUGUGUCAGAGGGGGGUGGAAUUCCACGUGUAGCAGUGAAAUGCGUAGAUAUGUGGAGGAACACCAAUGGCGAAGGCAGCCCCCUGGGAUAACACUGACGCUCAUGCACGAGAGCGUGGGGAGCAAACAGGAUUAGAUACCCCGGUAGUCCCUGUCUCUUAUAA